UAGUAACGGCGAGUGAAGAGGGAAAAGCUCAAAUUUUGAAUCUGGUGUCUUUGACUCCCGAGUUGUAAUCUAGAGAAGUGUUUUCCGUGUCGGACCACGUAUAAGUUCCCUGGAACGGGGCGUCAUAGAGGGUGAGAAUCCCGUAUAUGCCGUGGACUACCGAUGCUCUGUGAUACACUCUCAACGAGUCGAGUUGUUUGGGAAUGCAGCUCAAAAUGGGUGGUAAAUUCCAUCUAAAGCUAAAUAUUGGCGAGAGACCGAUAGCGAACAAGUACCGUGAGGGAAAGAUGAAAAGCACUUUGGAAAGAGAGUGAAACAGUACGUGAAAUUGUUGAAAGGGAAGCGUUUGAAGUCAGUCACGUUUGUUGGGAUUCAGCCUGGCUUCUGCCUGGUGUAUUUCCUAGCCGAUGGGUCAGCAUCAGUUUCGACCAAGGGAAAAAGACAUUUGGAAUGUGGCUGUCUUCGGGCAGUGUUAUAGCCUUGUGUUGUAUGCCUUGGUUGGGACUGAGGAAUGCAGCGCGCCUUAUGGCCGGGGGUCGCUCCUCUCGACACGCGCUUAGGG
This 562-nucleotide ribosomal RNA is filed under the name uncultured Sebacinales. RNAcentral describes it as "eukaryotic LSU rRNA". It matches the Rfam family "Eukaryotic large subunit ribosomal RNA", at positions 81 to 612 of the family's 3401-position model. Lineage: Eukaryota; Fungi; Basidiomycota; Agaricomycetes; Sebacinales. The record is from RNAcentral.